GAUGAACGCUGACAGAAUGCUUAACACAUGCAAGUCUACUUGCACUUCGGUUUGGGUGGCGGACGGGCGAGUAACGCGUAAAGAACUUGCCUCACAGUUAGGGACAACAUUUGGAAACGAAUGCUAAUACCUGAUAUUAUGAUUUUAGGGCAUCCUAAAAUUAUGAAAGCUAUAUGCGCUGUGAGAGAGCUUUCCGUCCCAUUAGCUAGUUGGAGAGGUAACGGCUCACCAAGGCGAUGAUGGGUAGCCGGCCUGAGAGGGUGAACGGCCACAAGGGGACUGAGACACGGCCCUUACUCCUACGGGAGGCAGCAGUGGUGAAUAUUGGACAAUGGACCAAAAGUCUGAUCCAGCAAUUCUGUGUGCACGAUGACGUUUUUCGGAAUGUAAAGUGCUUUCAGUUGGGAAGAAAAAAAUGACGGUACCAACAGAAGAAGUUACGGCUAAAUACGUG
RNAcentral lists this ribosomal RNA (454 nucleotides) under uncultured bacterium. RNAcentral describes it as "partial 16S ribosomal RNA". It matches the Rfam family "Bacterial small subunit ribosomal RNA", at positions 28 to 507 of the family's 1533-position model. The record is from RNAcentral.